CCGAGUGAGGGCCCCCGGCCCGACCUCCAACCCUUUGUGAACACAAUCUCGUUGCUUCGGGGGCGACCCUGCCGUCACGGCACCGGCGCCCCCGGAGGACACCCAACACUGCAUCCAUGCGUCGGAGUGAUUUUGUAAAUCAAAACA
RNAcentral lists this unclassified non-coding RNA (147 nucleotides) under uncultured Pseudocercosporella. RNAcentral's name for it is "sequence contains ITS1". The record is from RNAcentral. Lineage: Eukaryota; Fungi; Ascomycota; Dothideomycetes; Mycosphaerellales; Mycosphaerellaceae.